Molecule: ribosomal RNA, 784 nt
Filed under: Lacticaseibacillus zeae
Lineage: Bacteria; Bacillati; Bacillota; Bacilli; Lactobacillales; Lactobacillaceae
Description: bacterial SSU rRNA
Rfam family: Bacterial small subunit ribosomal RNA
Source: RNAcentral
GAUGAACGCUGGCGGCGUGCCUAAUACAUGCAAGUCGAACGAGUUCUGAUUAUUGAAAGGUGCUUGCAUCUUGAUUUAAUUUUGAACGAGUGGCGGACGGGUGAGUAACACGUGGGUAACCUGCCCUUAAGUGGGGGAUAACAUUUGGAAACAGAUGCUAAUACCGCAUAAAUCCAAAAACCGCAUGGUUCUUGGCUGAAAGAUGGCGUAAGCUAUCGCUUUUGGAUGGACCCGCGGCGUAUUAGCUAGUUGGUGAGGUAACGGCUCACCAAGGCAAUGAUACGUAGCCGAACUGAGAGGUUGAUCGGCCACAUUGGGACUGAGACACGGCCCAAACUCCUACGGGAGGCAGCAGUAGGGAAUCUUCCACAAUGGACGCAAGUCUGAUGGAGCAACGCCGCGUGAGUGAAGAAGGCUUUCGGGUCGUAAAACUCUGUUGUUGGAGAAGAAUGGUCGGCAGAGUAACUGCUGUCGGCGUGACGGUAUCCAACCAGAAAGCCACGGCUAACUACGUGCCAGCAGCCGCGGUAAUACGUAGGUGGCAAGCGUUAUCCGGAUUUAUUGGGCGUAAAGCGAGCGCAGGCGGUUUUUUAAGUCUGAUGUGAAAGCCCUCGGCUUAACCGAGGAAGUGCAUCGGAAACUGGGAAACUUGAGUGCAGAAGAGGACAGUGGAACUCCAUGUGUAGCGGUGAAAUGCGUAGAUAUAUGGAAGAACACCAGUGGCGAAGGCGGCUGUCUGGUCUGUAACUGACGCUGAGGCUCGAAAGCAUGGGUAGCGAACAGG